This is a small nuclear RNA of Gracilinanus agilis (Agile Gracile Mouse Opossum), 103 nucleotides long. The record is from RefSeq and is a predicted model, not a curated record. NCBI's taxonomy places the organism in Eukaryota, Metazoa, Chordata, Mammalia, Didelphimorphia, Didelphidae.
UUGCUUUGGCAGCACAUGUACUAAAAUUAGAAUGCUACAGAGAAGAUUAGCAUGGUCCCUGUGCAAGGAUGGCACGCAAAUUUGUGAAGCGUUCCAUUUUUUU